GACGAACGCUGGCGGCGUGCUUAACACAUGCAAGUCGAACGGAAAGGCCCCUUUGGGGGUCCUCGAGUGGCGAACGGGGGAGUAACACGUGAGUAACCUGCCCUUGACUUCGGGAUAACUUCAGGAAACUGGGGCUAAUACCGGAUAGGAAUCCUUGCUGCAUGGUGGGGGUUGGAAAGCUUCGGCGGUUUUGGAUGGACGCGCGGCUUAUCAGCUUGUUGGUGGGGUAGUGGCUUACCAAGGCUUUGACGGGUAGCCGGCCUGAGAGGGCGACCGGCCACAUUGGGACUGAGAUACGGCCCAGACUCCUACGGGAGGCAGCAGUGGGGAAUAUUGCACAAUGGGCGGAAGCCUGAUGCAGCAACGCCGCGGGCGGGAUGACGGCCUUCGGGUUGUAAACCGCUUUCAGCAGGGGCGAAGCUUGUGGUGACGGUACCUGCAGAAGAAGCACCGGCUAACUACGUG
RNAcentral lists this ribosomal RNA (465 nucleotides) under uncultured bacterium. Its description in RNAcentral is "partial 16S ribosomal RNA". It matches the Rfam family "Bacterial small subunit ribosomal RNA", at positions 28 to 507 of the family's 1533-position model. The record is from RNAcentral.